Molecule: ribosomal RNA, 599 nt
Filed under: bacterium enrichment culture clone F61x__D3_T3_C01
Lineage: Bacteria
Description: bacterial SSU rRNA
Rfam family: Bacterial small subunit ribosomal RNA
Source: RNAcentral
CCUGGCUCAGAUUGAACGCUGGCGGCAUGCUUUACACAUGCAAGUCGAACGGCAGCACGGGGGCAACCCUGGCGGCGAGUGGCGAACGGGUGAGUAAUAUAUCGGAACGUACCCUGGAGUGGGGGAUAACGUAGCGAGAGUUACGCUAAUACCGCAUACGAUCUAAGGAUGAAAGUGGGGGAUUCGCAAGAACCUCAUGCUCCUGGAGCGGCCGAUAUCUGAUUAGCUAGUUGGUGGGGUAAAGGCCUACCAAGGCAUCGAUCAGUAGCUGGUCUGAGAGGACGACCAGCUACACUGGAACUGAGACACGGUCCAGACUCCUACGGGAGGCAGCAGUGGGGAAUUUUGGACAAUGGGCGCAAGCCUGAUCCAGCAAUGCCGCGUGAGUGAAGAAGGCCUUCGGGUUGUAAAGCUCUUUUGUCAGGGAAGAAACGGUGAGGGCUAAUAUCCCUUGCUAAUGACGGUACCUGAAGAAUAAGCACCGGCUAACUACGUGCCAGCAGCCGCGGUAAUACGUAGGGUGCAAGCGUUAAUCGGAAUUACUGGGCGUAAAGCGUGCGCAGGCGGUUUUGUAAGUCUGUCGUGAAAUCNCNCGGGCU